AACCACCCAAACAGUGUUUCAUGAGGCGAUAAGGCUCUCUGCAUGCUUCCCCUGUUUGUUUUUCUCCUUCCGACUGCAAGACAACAUUCAGUAGCUGCGUUGCUGAAUGUGGAAAAACACAACAUGCAUCCUGUACUCUGCAUCUACCUUCUCCCGCUGGUGCUCGGGAGCGCGACUGGACAGUGCGAUGUCAGCGCUGACAGCGAUGAAUGCAAAAAACUCCAAGAAGUCUACUAUAGAAACAUUACCAAGAUCCCGGCCACACUGAAACCGGGGACCAUUCACGUUUAUUUCAUCGGGAGCAGGUUUUCCAACGUUCCGAACAGAGCCUUCAUCAACAGCCCUCAGCUGGAGACGGUGGACUUCAUGCAGAUGCCCAUCGUGUCCGUGGAAGCGCAUGCCUUCGAGGGUUUGCGUAAGCUGAAGCUCCUUGAAAUCACGACGACCAAUCUGACGUCGCUGCCCUUGGGCGUGUUUCAGGACCAGCCGAUGCUUGAGAAACUGGUCCUAAAGCUCAACAAAAUCCAGAAGCUUGUGAAGGGUCUGUUCGACGGCCUGAGAAUGUUGAAGGAGCUCCAGCUUCACACCAACCAAAUCGCCUCAAUCGACGAGGGAGUUUUCGAUCAGCUCGAUAACCUUACGGUUCUUCACCUGGCCAAGAAUAAGAUCACAUCCGUCUCCAGAGCGCUGUUUACAAAACUUAGUAAAUUACAAAGGCUCAGGCUCUACGAAAAUUACAUCACCACUAUUCCACCCGGGAUCUUUGAUGACCUACCGGAUCUGAAAGAGAUCGGCUUACGGGAUAACAAGAUAACUGAGAUACCACCAGAUUUAUUUUCCAACAACACCUUCUUGGAAUCAUUAAGUUUAGAUAGAAAUCGUUUGUCUGAAUUGCCCUCUGAAAUUUUUGUGGGACUUCCGAACAUGAAAUAUUUGACUCUUCAGCAGAAUCAAAUCCGCAGCCUGCCUCCCUUGCUCUUUGGAGAAAUGCCAAAAUUUUAUGAACUGAGUCUCAAAGGAAACAAUCUCACUGUCCUGCCUGCAGGUGUAUUCAGUCCCUUGAAGAAACUGAAGAAGCUUGACUUGUCUCUAAAUAAGUUUACCUCUUUGUCCAGUGACUAUUUUGAAGGGCUUGUGAAACUCACAGACUUGAAUCUACAGAAUAAUAUGAUUGAAUCAUUAGAACCAAAAACCUUUGAACAUUUAACAGACCUGCAUACCCUCAGGUUAGCAAAUAACAAAUUGAGAACUCUUCCUGAAGGAAUAUUUGACUCUUUACUUAAGUUUACCAGGGUAUAUCUCGACAACAACCCUUGGCACUGUGACUGCAAUCUGAUAUCUUUCUUUAACUGGAUGAAAGCUAACAGUAAAAAGAUUAAGUCUCUCUCAACAGAGCAGUGUGAAUCUCCUGACAGCUUGAAAGGACAAACUCUCAACUCUCUCACAGAAGAUCAGCUGAUAUGCCCAACAACUCCUACAAUCACCACAGCUUUGCCUCUUACCACAGGCGAUGAAUGCAAAAGAGACCAAGAAGUCUACGAUAGAGACUUUACCGAGAUUCUGGCCACACUGAAUCUGGGGACCAUUGCCGUUUAUUUCGUCGGGAGCAGGUUUUCCAACGUCCCGAACAGAGCCUUCAUCAACAGCCCUCAGCUGGAGACGGUGGAGUUCCUGCAGAUGCCCAUCGUGUCCGUGGAAAUGCACGCCUUCGAGGGUUUGCAUAAGCUGAAGCUUGUCGAAAUCUCGGCGACCAAUCUGACGUCGCUGCCCUUGGGCGUGUUUCAGGACCAGCCGAUGCUCGAGAAACUGAUCCUAAAGCUCAACAAAAUCCAGAAGCUUGAGAAGGGACUGUUCGACGGCCUGAGAAUGUUGAAGGAGCUCCACCUUCAGAUCAACCAAAUCGCCUCAAUCGACGAGGGAGUUUUCGAUCAGCUCGAUAACCUUACGGUUCUUCACCUGGGCAAGAAUAAGAUCACGUCCGUCUCCAGAGCGCUGUUUACAAAACUUAGUAAAUUACAAAGGCUCAGGCUCUACGAAAAUGACAUUGCCACUAUUCCACCUGGGAUCUUUGAUGAUCUACCGGAUCUGAAAGAGAUCAGCUUACAGGAUAACAAGAUAACUGAGAUACCACCAGAUUUAUUUUCCAAAAACACCUUCUUGGAAUCAUUAAAUUUAGAGAAAAAUCGUUUGUCUGAAUUGCCCUCUGAAAUUUUUGUGGGACUUCCGAACAUGACAUUUUUGACUCUUGAGCAGAAUGAAAUCCGCAGCCUGCCUCCCUUGCUCUUUGGAGAAAUGCCAAAAUGUCAUGAAGUGAGUCUCAGAGGAAACAAUCUCACUGUCCUGCCUGCAGGUGUAUUCAGUCCCUUGAAGAAACUCAAGAAGCUUGACUUGUCUCUAAAUAAGUUUACCUCUUUGUCCAGUGACUAUUUUGAAGGGCUUGUGAAACUCACAGACUUGAAUCUACAGAAUAAUAUGAUUGAAUCAUUAGAACCAAAAACCUUUGAACAUUUAACAGACCUGCAUACCCUCAGCUUAGCAAAUAACAAAUUGAGAACUCUUCCUGAAGGAAUAUUUGACUCUUUACUAGAGUUUAGCAGGGUAUAUCUCGACAACAACCCUUGGCACUGUGACUGCAAUCUGAUAUCUUUAUCUAACUGGAUGAAAGCUAACAGUAAAAAGAUUAAGUCUCUCUCAACAGAGCAGUGUGAAUCUCCUGACAGCUUGAAAGGACAAACUCUCAACUCUCUCACAGAAGAUCAGCUGAUAUGCCCAACAACACCUCAACUACAAUCUCUUACCACGGCAACCAGUGUUGGGGAAAAUUCACAGAACAAAAGAUCUCCCUCCUAAUAGCAUGAUAAACAAUCACAAGUCAAAAUCAGACUCAACCUUGAUGAGCAAGCUGGUUCCUCCAAAACUCUUAAUGAUUCAUUCCAGAAGUGUAUAUAUAUACACGACACCAGCACUACAGUUGCCAUGACAACAGAAGUACCCACAACAACAACCCAACCCACCAUGAUGCACACCACCCCGGCACCUACCACCAAAAUAACAACCAUGGUGCCGACAACUGCACCCACCACAAUGUUGACAACCACCUUGCCAACAACAGUUGCUAUGACAACUGCACCCACCACAAUGUUGACAACCACCUUGCCAACCACGCUAGCAACAACAACUGCACCCACCACAAUGUUGACAACCACCUUGCCAACAACAGUUGCUACGACAACUGCACCCACCACAAUGUUGACAACCACCUUGCCAACCACGCUAGCAACAACAACUGCACCCACCACAAUGUUGACAACCACAGUGCCAACAACGGUAGCUAUGACAACUGCACCCACAACAAUGUUGAAAACCACUGUGGCAACCACACCAGCAAUGACAACUGCACCCACCACAAUGUUGACAACCACAGUGCCAACAACAGUAGCUGUGACAACUGGGCCUACAACCACAGCCUUGGCGACUACUCCAACGACCACAGCCCUGAUCACAACCUUGGCCCCAACGACUGCAGCCAUCACCUCCGCUCUGCUCUUGGAAAAUGAGGAGGAUUUCAAUAUUAAUACAGUACACUACAUUUCGGUCCAAGGAACAUAUGUGUAACUGACCUUAAGAAUGUCUCUCUCCCGUCUCCCGUUCUGCAUCCCGUCUGCAAUUGUCUGCACUUGUCCGAGCUUGUACUGUAAGGUAGGCGGGGAGUUUGUGGUGUCAAUCACAUGCGGAAAGUUGUUAGUUAUUCUUCUUGCCCACAGGAGUACAUU
RNA transcript from Conger conger (European conger), 3773 nucleotides. It is a transcript of the gene named slit homolog 1 protein-like, with no coding region annotated. The transcript is spliced from 3 exons. NCBI's taxonomy places the organism in Eukaryota, Metazoa, Chordata, Actinopteri, Anguilliformes, Congridae. The record is from RefSeq and is a predicted model, not a curated record.